RNAcentral lists this ribosomal RNA (253 nucleotides) under uncultured bacterium. Its description in RNAcentral is "partial 16S ribosomal RNA". It matches the Rfam family "Bacterial small subunit ribosomal RNA", at positions 524 to 776 of the family's 1533-position model. The record is from RNAcentral.
UACGUAGGGUGCGAGCGUUAAUCGGAAUUACUGGGCGUAAAGCGUGCGCAGGCGGUUUUUUAAGCCAGAUGUGAAAUCCCCGGGCUUAACCUGGGAAUGGCAUUUGGGACUGCAAGGCUGGAGUUUGGCAGAGGAGACUGGAAUUCCUGGUGUAGCAGUGAAAUGCGUAGAUAUCAGGAGGAACACCGGUGGCGAAGGCGGAUCUCUGGGCCAUUACUGACGCUGAGGAGCGAAAGCGUGGGGAGCAAACAGG